AUGGUCUUGCUGCUGGGACCGAUAAAUUUUGAAAUCAACGAUCAAUUGGGAUUGUCUGAAAAAGGUUGAUUUAGCCCAUUACAAAUCGCACUCGGAGGUGUAGAUGGCAAGAGAAGGCCUGGUUAGAGCCCAUCCAUGCUCGAAUAUAGCUUCAAAGCUUGAACAUCCCCCAAGAUGUUUCAAUGGCAACAUUUUUGCAAGUAUGAAUAAGGUUUUUAAAUUUAAUGCAAUCUUUGAGUUGUCGGCUGAGGAGGUAAAUGGGCUCUGCUUAAGCAAAGAAUGAACCUGAAUAUGCAUUGACCGAGCACGAAUACCAUGAAAACGAAAACGACAAAAUAUGCCCAUGCCGGGGAAUGGAUAGUUCUUGGGAGGCUGGCACCAUUUUGUUUUCUAAGAAAUAUGGAGUAAAAUCUAAUUUCUAUGGUCUUAUAUCCACGUGUGUGUGUGUGUGUGUGUGGUGAACAACAAACAUGCAGAAAUGAAUUAACCACAAAGUAAAUGAUCAUUUACUACAAGCUGAUGACCUCUUUACAUUCUACAAGGUGCAUGAGCUGAUGAGCAAAUGCAA
Populus euphratica (Euphrates poplar) is the source of this 568-nucleotide long non-coding RNA. RefSeq lists it as uncharacterized. The record is from RefSeq and is a predicted model, not a curated record. NCBI's taxonomy places the organism in Eukaryota, Viridiplantae, Streptophyta, Magnoliopsida, Malpighiales, Salicaceae. The transcript has 2 exons.